RNAcentral lists this ribosomal RNA (650 nucleotides) under uncultured marine bacterium. Its description in RNAcentral is "bacterial SSU rRNA". It matches the Rfam family "Bacterial small subunit ribosomal RNA", at positions 82 to 730 of the family's 1533-position model. The record is from RNAcentral.
UAUCAGGCGUCGAGCGGCGGACGGGUGAGUAAUACUUAGGAAUCUACCUAGUAGUGGGGGAUAGCACGGGGAAACUCGUAUUAAUACCGCAUACGACCUACGGGAGAAAGGGGGCAGUUUACUGCUCUCGCUAUUAGAUGAGCCUAAGUCGGAUUAGCUAGAUGGUGGGGUAAAGGCCUACCAUGGCGACGAUCUGUAGCUGGUCUGAGAGGAUGAUCAGCCACACCGGGACUGAGACACGGCCCGGACUCCUACGGAAGGCAGCAGUGGGGAAUAUUGGACAAUGGGGGAAACCCUGAUCCAGCCAUGCCGCGUGUGUGAAGAAGGCCUUUUGGUUGUAAAGCACUUUAAGCAGUGAAGAAGACUCCGUGGUUAAUACCCACGGACGAUGACAUUAGCUGCAGAAUAAGCACCGGCUAACUCUGUGCCAGCAGCCGCGGUAAUACAGAGGGUGCAAGCGUUAAUCGGAAUUACUGGGCGUAAAGGGAGCGUAGGUGGCUCUAUAAGUCAGAUGUGAAAUCCCCGGGCUCAACCUGGGAACUGCAUCUGAAACUGUAGAGCUAGAGUAUGUGAGAGGAAGGUAGAAUUCCAGGUGUAGCGGUGAAAUGCGUAGAGAUCUGGAGGAAUACCGAUGGCGAAGGCAGCCUUCU